Molecule: ribosomal RNA, 253 nt
Filed under: uncultured Eubacteriales bacterium
Lineage: Bacteria; Bacillati; Bacillota; Clostridia; Eubacteriales
Description: uncultured Clostridiales bacterium partial 16S ribosomal RNA
Rfam family: Bacterial small subunit ribosomal RNA
Source: RNAcentral
UACGUAGGGGGCAAGCGUUAUCCGGAAUUACUGGGUGUAAAGGGAGCGUAGACGGUUAAGUAAGUCUGGAGUGAAAGGCCGGGGCCCAACCCCGGGACUGCUCUGGAAACUGGCAGGCUGGAGUGCCGGAGAGGCAGGCGGAAUUCCUAGUGUAGCGGUGAAAUGCGUAGAUAUUAGGAGGAACACCAGUGGCGAAGGCGGCCUGCUGGACGGUGACUGACGCUGAGGCUCGAAAGCGUGGGGAGCAAACAGG